This 253-nucleotide ribosomal RNA is filed under the name uncultured bacterium. RNAcentral's name for it is "partial 16S ribosomal RNA". It matches the Rfam family "Bacterial small subunit ribosomal RNA", at positions 524 to 776 of the family's 1533-position model. The record is from RNAcentral.
UACGAGUGCUUCGAGCGUUAUCCGGAAUCAUUGGGCGUAAAGGGUGUGUAGGCGGUUAUGUUAGUCUCCCGGUAAAUUCUUCGGCUCAACCGGGGGCAUGCGGGGGAAACGGCAUAACUUGAGGAUGGAAGGGGUCUCUGGAACUCAUGGUGUAGCGGUGAAAUGCGUUGAUAUCAUGGGGAACACCGAAAGCGAAGGCAAGAGACUGGUCCACUCCUGACGCUGAAACACGAAAGCGUGGGUCGCGAAUGGG